RNAcentral lists this ribosomal RNA (729 nucleotides) under Pseudomonas viridiflava. RNAcentral describes it as "bacterial SSU rRNA". It matches the Rfam family "Bacterial small subunit ribosomal RNA", at positions 99 to 824 of the family's 1533-position model. Lineage: Bacteria; Pseudomonadati; Pseudomonadota; Gammaproteobacteria; Pseudomonadales; Pseudomonadaceae. The record is from RNAcentral.
CGGACGGGUGAGUAAUGCCUAGGAAUCUGCCUGGUAGUGGGGGAUAACGUUCGGAAACGGACGCUAAUACCGCAUACGUCCUACGGGAGAAAGCAGGGGACCUUCGGGCCUUGCGCUAUCAGAUGAGCCUAGGUCGGAUUAGCUAGUUGGUGAGGUAAUGGCUCACCAAGGCGACGAUCCGUAACUGGUCUGAGAGGAUGAUCAGUCACACUGGAACUGAGACACGGUCCAGACUCCUACGGGAGGCAGCAGUGGGGAAUAUUGGACAAUGGGCGAAAGCCUGAUCCAGCCAUGCCGCGUGUGUGAAGAAGGUCUUCGGAUUGUAAAGCACUUUAAGUUGGGAGGAAGGGCAUUAACCUAAUACGUUAGUGUUUUGACGUUACCGACAGAAUAAGCACCGGCUAACUCUGUGCCAGCAGCCGCGGUAAUACAGAGGGUGCAAGCGUUAAUCGGAAUUACUGGGCGUAAAGCGCGCGUAGGUGGUUUGUUAAGUUGGAUGUGAAAUCCCCGGGCUCAACCUGGGAACUGCAUUCAAAACUGACUGACUAGAGUAUGGUAGAGGGUGGUGGAAUUUCCUGUGUAGCGGUGAAAUGCGUAGAUAUAGGAAGGAACACCAGUGGCGAAGGCGACCACCUGGACUAAUACUGACACUGAGGUGCGAAAGCGUGGGGAGCAAACAGGAUUAGAUACCCUGGUAGUCCACGCCGUAAACGAUGUCAACUAGCCGUU